Molecule: ribosomal RNA, 497 nt
Filed under: uncultured bacterium
Lineage: Bacteria
Description: partial 16S ribosomal RNA
Rfam family: Bacterial small subunit ribosomal RNA
Source: RNAcentral
GAUGAACGCUGGCGGCGUGCUUAACACAUGCAAGUCGAACGAAGCAUUUGCGACAGAUUUCUUCGGAUUGAAGUUGCUUAUGACUGAGUGGCGGACGGGUGAGUAACGCGUGGGUAACCUGCCUCAUACAGGGGGAUAGCAGCUGGAAACGGCUGGUAAUACCGCAUAAGCGCACAGUACCACAUGGUACAGUGUGAAAAACUCCGGUGGUAUGAGAUGGACCCGCGUCUGAUUAGCUAGUUGGUGAGGUAACGGCCCACCAAGGCGACGAUCAGUAGCCGACCUGAGAGGGUGACCGGCCACAUUGGGACUGAAACACGGCCCAGACUCCUACGGGAGGCAGCAGUGGGGAAUAUUGCACAAUGGAGGAAACUCUGAUGCAGCGACGCCGCGUGAGUGAAGAAGUAGUUCGCUAUGUAAAGCUCUAUCAGCAGGGAAGAUAGUGACGGUACCUGACUAAGAAGCUCCGGCUAAAUACGUGCCAGCCGCCGCGGUAA